AUUGAACGCUGGCGGCAGGCCUAACACAUGCCAGUCGAGCGGAGCGGCAGACGGGUGAGUAAUGCCUAGGAAUCUGCCUGGUAGUGUGGGAUAACGUCAGGCAACGGGCGCUAAUACCGCAUCCUAUCAGCUUAGCCUAGGUCGAAUUAGCUAGUUGGUGGGGUAAAGGCAUACCAAGGCUACGCUCCGUAACUGGUCUGAGAGGAUGAUCAGUAACACUGGAACUGGUAAACGGUCCAGACUCCUACGGGAGGCAGCAGUGGGGAAUAUUGUACAAUGGGCGAAAGCCUGAUGCAGCCAUGCCGCGUGUAUGAAGAAGGCCUUCGGGUUGUAAAGUACUUUCAGCGAGGAGGCGUUACUCGCAGAAGAAGCACCGGCUAACUCCGUGCCAGCAGCCGCGGUAAUUC
Molecule: ribosomal RNA, 407 nt
Filed under: uncultured bacterium
Lineage: Bacteria
Description: partial 16S ribosomal RNA
Rfam family: Bacterial small subunit ribosomal RNA
Source: RNAcentral